Molecule: long non-coding RNA, 1002 nt
Filed under: Monodelphis domestica (gray short-tailed opossum)
Lineage: Eukaryota; Metazoa; Chordata; Mammalia; Didelphimorphia; Didelphidae
Description: lncRNA (ENSMODG00000051507.1)
Source: RNAcentral
AGAGAUAAGAACCUUCCUGCAAAACAUUGAUAGGGAGUUAAAAACAUCCCACAAUAGGAGUGAUUUAACUCUCCAUCCCCCAUCAUUAUCAGACUCCCUGACCAACCCUGCCCAAAACGAUUUGGCUCAAAUAGAAGCCCCUUCACACCAACCAGCUCCUCCCCAUCCUGACCACCCAGCCCCUCCCCCUGCCAUUCUUGCCCCUCCCACCCUGGUUCCUCCUUCCAUUCAUGCCUCUUACCCUGCCUCCUCAGCCCCGGAUCCUCCCCCUGCCCUUCCCCCCACCCAUGCUCAUGCUCCAGCCCCACCCCCUGUUCCUGCCCCAGCCCUUCCCCCUACCCUCCCCUCCACUCUUGCUCUAAUCUCCAACCCCCAUGCUCCAACAGCUAAUAAUCCUAACAUUGAAAAUGGAGCAAGUAGCCUAGAAACAGUAACACCAGAUAGUUUAGACAGAAGUUUAUUUCCAUUGAGGGAAGUACCCACCUUUAAUAAAGAAGGGAAAUUGGUGCCUGUGAGACACUAUACACCUUUUAAACCUGAUGAUUUAGAAAAAUUCAAGCACAAUGUUCAAUCAUUUGAGGCAGAACCAAUGUUGGUUAUAGAAAAAUUAGAAAAUAUAUUCAGAAACUUUGACCCUUCUUGGUUGGAUGUGGAGAAUUUGUUAGAUACAUUUCUGACAAAGAGAGAGAAAAAUAAUGUCAUCUCUCUAGCUAAUAAGAAAAGUGGUAGAGGAGCUCAUCACUGGCCAACUGUAGAUCCACACUGGAACCCUAAUAUUGUACAGGAUCACACAAAACUAGCCCUGGCCAGAGAAGCAUUAUUAAAAGCCAUGAGAGACUGCUCUGAUAGCCCUGAUGCAUGGGAAAAAUUUGAACAAUCCCGGCAGGAAAUUAAUGAGACCCCCUCCCACUUUAUGGACAGACUUAUUGACGUAGGAAGUACAUAUAUGGACCUUGAUUUGUCCAGAGAAAAAGACAUUAAACAUAUACACAGACAAUUCGU